This is a long non-coding RNA of Antechinus flavipes (yellow-footed antechinus), 1177 nucleotides long. RefSeq lists it as uncharacterized. The transcript has 2 exons. Lineage: Eukaryota; Metazoa; Chordata; Mammalia; Dasyuromorphia; Dasyuridae. The record is from RefSeq and is a predicted model, not a curated record.
UGGAGAUGUGUGUGAUCAGACGGGAUGCUAAAUGUUUGGUAUUUAUGUUUCUUGAGCGUUUUAAUUUAAUUUCAAUUUUUAAAAAUUUAAUAUCUUGCUUCAUUUUGUUAUAGGAGAGGCAGCAUAUCUAUAUUGUGGGGGAAAAUAAAAAACAAACUAGUUGCUAGGAGGUCUAGAUUCUGGUUUUGGAGAUUUGCCAGGGAAAGACUUGCUGUUUGACUUUGGCCCAGUUGGAUACCCUUCCCGGAUUUCUGUGUUCUCAUCUGUAAAAUCAGGGGGUCUGAUGGAACAUUUAUGAGGUCAGUCUUGUCUAACUUGGAAGAUAGAGGUCAGUGAUAGUAAAGGCUACUGCUGAGAUGGGAAGCUGCAUAGUUAGGGGUUUUUCCAUCUGGCUUUCGUGCUUCCUAUUGCUUGAGGAUCUGAACUUUCUCAUCCUGUUCUAAUAGAAUUACCUAUUUAUUGUAGCAAGGUUUACAAAGGGGUUUGUUAUUAGGUGUGAUUAUUAAGGGAGGAAUGGUGGGAAUAUAUGUGAGAGAGAGAGGGACAGAGAGAGAGACAGACAUAUAGACACAGAGAAAGAGAGAAAGGUAUGGAUAAAGAGAGAGAGAGAGAGAGAUAUAUAAAAGGUACAGAGACAGAGAGAAAGAGAUAAAGAUAUGGAGACAGAAAAAGAGAGAGACAAAGGUACGGAAACAGAAAGAGAGAUAAAGAUACAGAGACAGAGAGAGAGAUAAAGAUAUGGAGACAGAAAAAGAGAGAGACAAAGGGACAGAAACAGAGAGAGAGAGAGAGAAAGAUACGGAGACAGAGAAAGAGAGAGACAAAGGUACGAAGACAGAGAGAGAGAGAUAAAGGGCCAGAGACAGAGAAAGAGACAAAGGUACAGAGAAAGAGACAAAGGUACAGAGAAAGAGACAAAGGGCCAGAAAAAGAGACAAAGGUACAGAGACAGAGAAAGAGACAAAGAUAUGGAGACAGAGAGAGAGAGAGAGACAAAGAACAGAGACAGAGACAGAGAAAAAAACAAAGGUACAGCAACAGAGAGACAAAGGUAUAGAGAAAGAGACAAAAGUAUGGAGAAAAAGACAAAGGCACGGAGACAGAGAAAGAGAGAGACAAAGGUACACAGAGAGAGAGAAUGAGAGAGACACGAAGGUGUAAGAGAGACAGAAAAAGA